RNAcentral lists this long non-coding RNA (1737 nucleotides) under Carica papaya (papaya). RNAcentral's name for it is "long non-coding RNA (CPAP_LNC012120)". Lineage: Eukaryota; Viridiplantae; Streptophyta; Magnoliopsida; Brassicales; Caricaceae. The record is from RNAcentral.
GAAACUAAAAUCCAUGUUGUAUUACAUCAGUGAUAGUUUUACGCAAACCAAAAGUAAAAUCAUAAUUAAAUAAAAGCACUUACGAGCCAGGCGAUAGACGAGCAAAAACAAGACGAUCUCCAUCAUUGAUGUCGAGCAAUACACUACAACCUUCCCAAGUAACUCUAGCAGUUUGAGUUGGAUCUUCCAUUUGUGACAUAUCCGAUCCUAUUUUAUGCAGAAAUGGUGAGAAACAGAAAAACAAAUCGGAAAACAAAAGUGGCUGUAGUUACGAUCAAAAUCUAGGCAUUAUAGUCACUGAAGAAUUCAUAAAACCUAACUCUAGGGUUUAGCAGUCAACAGAGAUGUGUCAAAUGAAAAGAAAACAGCAUUGGCCCUUUUUCAUGCUUAUAUCGCCACUUCGACACCGUUCAUGGGCAUUGAUUUGACACCGUUAUCGGGUGAGAUAAUGCUAAGCUAACGGGAGGGAAAGGCCCAGAAGCCUUUUUUGUUGACGUUGAUUACUUUCUUCAGAGGCUUCUCCAGCUUAAUAGCAGCUCGAAUAGAAAAAGAAACCUGUUCAUUUAUGUUACCUGUUGUAGACCUUCAACCUUUCACCUUUCACAGAUCUGAGAAAGACGGUCAAGUAAUGGUGACCCGCCGAAGACUGGAGCCUCGUAACAUGUUGAGGAAGUAAAAAAAUGACCAGACGUACCUGGUUGCAAUCAGAUGUAGGAGAGAAGUUCGUUUAGGAACCACCGCAUGCGCUUAGCGUCGGAAAGAUCCCUCUACAUACUAUAAAAGACGGAGAAGAACAGAACUAAAGUAACAUUUUGUCCGGAGCUCAAUGCCAAAUUCUGUUGCGCAUUCUCAUCCUACUGGCACAAGACACAAACAUUUCACUAAAGGCCCAAUGACUUGUAGACCGCUGUGUGGUAGCAAUCACAAAUGGCCACCAGCAGUGUUGCUCUACACAUUGGCGGCACACCUUGGUGUUUUGUUCAUAAUGCAUUCUCUUUCUUCUUUAUGGAACAAAACAAACAAACAGUUCUUCUCAAUCCUUCCUCUUACAUCAACAAAUAAAACCAACUAAUCUACUAAAAGGCAGCUAAUCAAACAGACGAAAAUAGCAAGCAAAUGGAACGUGUAACAGUCCAACCAAACGACAUAUAUGUUGCUAAAGAAGGCAGAAUAUAAGAGUAAUACCAACUGCCAGCUAAUUACAGGACAGCAAAUGAAGCCCGGGAUCAACGAGGAAAACAGAGAAAGAGCUUGUGAGAAAAUCUAACGGUGCCCGUACGUGAGAAACGGAGUGCGGCUGUGAGUGAGGCGGUGACCAGUUGUAGAGCAGGAUGAUCAAUCCAUGGUGAGCCGCUGUGACAGUGAACUGGUGCCGGUGCUCAGCGUGGAUGAGGUGUGUGAAAGUCGGUGAUUAUCGCGUCGUGGGUAACUUUUUUGAAUACGAGCAGAGACGGUUUUGAGAGCGAGGGUCGUACUAAAAAGCCGGGGGAGGAGGAGGGAGAAUUUAGGUUUAUAUGAUUAUAGAAUUAAUUUUUGUUUCCUAAAUUAUUAAAUUUUUUUUAAGUAAUAUAAAAUUAAUAUUAAAUAUUAAAUAUAUUUAUUUUUUUAAUCGAAAAUGAGAAGAAAGAAAUAUAUUUAUUUAUGAAAUCACUUUUCAGAUACGUAUAAUAAAGUUGUACUACAUUGUAUUUUCAUUUGAGAUGUGUAAUAUACAUAGCAUUUAUAACUACAUAUUGC